Molecule: ribosomal RNA, 484 nt
Filed under: uncultured bacterium
Lineage: Bacteria
Description: partial 16S ribosomal RNA
Rfam family: Bacterial small subunit ribosomal RNA
Source: RNAcentral
GACGAACGCUGGCGGCGUGCUUAACACAUGCAAGUCGAACGAUGAAGCCGGAGCUUGCUCUGGUGAAUUAGUGGCGAACGGGUGAGUAACACGUGAGUAACCUGCCCUUGACUCUGGGAUAACUGCGGGAAACUGUAGCUAAUACCGGAUACGACCCUCGGAGGCAUCUCCUGGGGGUGGAAAGAAUUUCGGUCAGGGAUGGACUCGCGGCCUAUCAGCUAGUUGGUGAGGUAAGGGCUCACCAAGGCGACGACGGGUAGCCGGCCUGAGAGGGUGACCGGCCACACUGGGACUGAGACACAGCCCAGACUCCUACGGGAGGCAGCAGUGGGGAAGAUUGCACAAUGGGCGCAAGCCUGAUGCAGCAACGCCGCGUGAGGGAUGACGGCCUUCGGGUUGUAAACCUCUUUUAGUAGGGAAGAAGCGAAAGUGACGGUACCUGCAGAAAAAGCACCGGCUAACUACGUGCCAGCCGCCGCAGUAA